Molecule: non-coding RNA, 2715 nt
Organism: Macaca mulatta (Rhesus monkey)
Lineage: Eukaryota; Metazoa; Chordata; Mammalia; Primates; Cercopithecidae
Source: RefSeq, a predicted model, not a curated record
CAGACCCGGAAGCGGAGCCGUCACGUGGGGCGGCGUGGGCCGCUGCCUUGGAAACGCGGAGCCGCGCUCCCGGCGAAAGCACCAGGGCAGGGGUCUCGCGUGGGAGGAAGGGAGUGCUCCGGGGAUAGAAUGCUGUGCGUCGGAAGGCUGGGCGGCUUCGGAGCCAGAGCAGCAGCUCUGCCGCCCCGGUGGGCGGGCCAGGGAAGCCUUCAAGCCGGGAUCCGGGCCCGAAGGGUCAGCACCAGCUGGUCUCCCGUGGGCGCCGCCUUCAAUGUCAAGCCCCAGGGCAGCCGCUUGGACCUGUUCGGCGAGCGCCGGGGUCUUUUUGGAGUUCCUGAGCUCAGUGCCCCAGAAGGAUUUCAUAUUGCACAAGAAAAAGCCUUGAGAAAGACAGAAUUGCUUGUGGACCGUGCGUGUUCCACCCCACCUGGGCCCCAGACCGUGCUGAUCUUCGAUGAGCUCUCGGAUUCCUUGUGCAGAGUGGCCGACUUGGCUGAUUUUGUGAAAAUCGCUCACCCUGAGCCAGCAUUCAGAGAAGCCGCGGAAGAAGCUUGUAGAAGCAUUGGCACCAUGGUAGAGAAGUUGAACACAAAUGUGGAUUUAUAUCAAAGUUUGCAAAAAUUACUAGCUGAUAAAAAUCUUGUGGAUUCCCUUGAUCCAGAAACAAGGCGAGUGGCUGAACUGUUUCUGUUUGAUUUUGAAAUUAGUGGAAUCCAUCUAGACCAAGAAAAGCGUAAAAGAGCAGUGGACCUCAAUGUUAAAAUCUUGGAUUUGAGUAGUACAUUUCUUACGGGAACCAAUUUUCCCAACAAGAUCGAGAAGCAUCUCUUACCAGAACACAUUCGUCAUAACUUUACGUCUGCUGGGGAUCAUAUCAUCAUCGAUGGUCUCCACGCAGAGGCCCCAGAUGACUUGGUGCGAGAAGCUGCUUAUAAAAUUUUUCUUUAUCCCAACGCUGGUCAGUUGAAAUGUUUAGAAGAAUUGCUCAGCAGUCGAGACCUUCUGGCAAAGCUGGUGGGGUACUCCACGUUCUCCCACAGGGCUCUCCAAGGAACGAUAGCUAAAAAUCCAGAGACUGUCAUGCAGUUCCUUGAGAAACUAUCUGACAAACUUUCUGAAAGAACUCUAAAAGAUUUUGAGAUGAUACGAGAGAUGAAAAUGAAACUGAAUCCUCAAAAUUCUGAAGUAAUGCCUUGGGACCCCCCCUACUACAGUGGUGUGAUUCGUGCAGAAAGGUAUAAUAUUGAGCCCAGCCUAUAUUGCCCGUUUUUCUCUCUUGGAGCAUGCAUGGAAGGCCUGAAUAUUUUGCUAAACAGACUAUUGGGGAUUUCAUUAUAUGCAGAGCAGCCUGCAAAAGGAGAGGUGUGGAGUGAAGAUGUCCGAAAACUGGCUGUCGUUCAUGAAUCUGAGGGAUUGUUGGGGUACAUUUACUGUGAUUUUUUUCAGCGAGCAGACAAGCCACAUCAGGAUUGCCAUUUCACUAUCCGUGGAGGCAGACUAAAGGAAGAUGGAGACUAUCAACUCCCAGUUGUAGUUCUUAUGCUGAAUCUUCCGCGUUCCUCAAGGAGUUCUCCAACUUUGCUAACUCCUGGCAUGAUGGAAAAUCUUUUCCAUGAAAUGGGACAUGCCAUGCAUUCAAUGCUAGGACGUACUCGUUACCAACACGUCACUGGGACCAGGUGCCCUACUGAUUUUGCUGAGGUUCCUUCUAUUCUGAUGGAGUACUUUGCAAAUGAUUAUCGAGUAGUUAACCAAUUUGCCAGACAUUAUCAGACUGGACAGCCACUGCCAAAAAAUAUGGUGUCUCGUCUUUGUGAAUCUAAAAAGGUUUGUGCCGCAGCUGACAUGCAACUUCAGGUCUUUUAUGCCGCUCUGGAUCAAAUCUACCAUGGGAAGCAUCCCCUGAGGAAUUCAACCACAGACAUUCUCAAGGAAACACAAGAGAAAUUCUAUGGCCUACCAUACGUUCCAAAUACUGCCUGGCAGCUGCGAUUCAGCCACCUCGUGGGCUAUGGCGCUAAAUACUACUCUUACCUCAUGUCCAGAGCGGUCGCCUCCAUGGUGUGGAAGGAGUGCUUUCUGCAGGAUCCUUUCAACAGGGCCGCUGGGGAGCGCUAUCGCAAGGAGAUGCUGGCCCACGGUGGAGGCAGGGAGCCCAUGCUCAUGGUUGAAGCUGUGAUGACAGUGCUCAUACAAUCCUGUCCCCACCGCACCAACAUGCACAGACACAAGCAGGCAGUGAGGUGGCUCCGGGACGACCUUGUAUGAAGACGUUUCCUGCCUUAGUCUCGGCAAUGGACAUCACAAACUUGGGAACAAGCUACAAAAUUAAGAUCACUUGGCCUAGAGACCUGCCGCCCACCAGGAUGGACCAGGCCAAAUAUGAUCACGCCUGGCUUUGAGUAAAAGAAAAGAAGACCGAAAAGCAAUGACCACGGGGAGGGGCUGGCAAGGCAGGGAGGAGCACCCCAGGCCUCCGUGCCUGGCCCUAACUGCAGGGCGGACGGAAGGCACCCCAUUAUGCCGGAGCAGCUCACUGCUUUGGGUUCCUCUUGGGCACCUGCUGGAUUGUAAGUACAGCUGUUUCGUACGUUAAUUACCAUAAAUACCAUCAUUAACACUGAAAACAAUUAAACGCCGUACACUGGCAGCAGAUUACCUACAGUGUCUCUCACAAACAUGGGAAAGUAAAGGAAUCUUCCCCACCAGCAAGGA